AUGGAUUGCGGAGUCCCAGCGUUGGGGAUUCCCCAUCUCCGCAGUUUCUCUUCUUCUCACAACCUGCGUCGUGUCCUUCUUCCUGGAUACUCACGACGCGAACCCCGUUCUCACUCCCAUUGGGUGUCGGGUUUCUAGAGACGCCAAUCAGUGUCGCCGCAGUCCCGGUUCUAAAGUCCCCACUCACCCACCAGGACUCAGAUUCUCCGCAGACGCCGAGGAUGUUGGUCAUGGCGCCCCGAACCCUCCUCCUGGUGCUCUCAGGGGCCCUGGCCCUGACCCAGACCCGGGCAGGCUCGCACUCCAUGAGGUAUUUCUACACCUCCGUGUCCCGGCCCGGCCGCGGGGAGCCCCGCUUCUUCGCCGUGGGCUACGUGGACGACACGCAGUUCCAGCGGUUCGACAGCGACGCCGCGAGCCAGAGGAUGGAGCCGCGGGCGCCGUGGGUGGAGCAGGAGGGUCCAGAGUAUUGGGACCGGGAGACACGGAACAUGAAGGCCGAGACACAGAAUGCCCCAGUGAACCUGCGGAACCUGCGCGGCUACUACAACCAGAGCGAGGCCGGUGAGUGACCCCGGCCCGGGGCGCAGGUCACGACCCCUCCCCAUCCCCCAC
This is an RNA transcript of Piliocolobus tephrosceles (Ugandan red Colobus), 615 nucleotides long. It is a transcript of the gene named HLA class I histocompatibility antigen, A alpha chain-like, with no coding region annotated. The transcript is spliced from 2 exons. Lineage: Eukaryota; Metazoa; Chordata; Mammalia; Primates; Cercopithecidae. The record is from RefSeq and is a predicted model, not a curated record.